GGAACCAAGUCCCAGAGCCCAGGUUUCAGCCUGCGGCAGUCCCAUUCCAGAGCCCAAGUUCUUAUGCAUGAGCUGAGUUUAUGGAGAAAAAAGAAAAGGCUGAAGCAGAGAUCUGACUUGGGCCUCAGCCGCAGGAGGAGUGAAGCCUGUAAACGGUGGAUUGUCCCCCACAGCCGCUUCCAGACAGGAUGCUGCUAAAACACGUGAUAACUAGCCCUUCACCAAUACAACGGCACCCUCCUGUGCUUGUUUGGAUUUCAAUAACCUUUCUAAUGUAAAAGCAGUUAACCAUGAUAUAGUUUUGAGAAAAAAAAUACCAUUUUAAAGCCCUUCCAACUCCCAUACAUUUUCAUUUUUCUGGGCUACUCUGUCAGUUUAAGUUUUACACAAUUGUCAGCCCAGCAAAGACAUCCUCAUUUUUUUUUUCCAACUUUCAAGUAGCCAGGUUUGGUAGCUCACACCUGGAAUCCCAGCACUUUGGGAAGCUAAGGCUGGAGGACGGCUUCAGCACCGGAGUUCAAAGCCCUGGAGCUCGUCAUCAGAUAACAUAGAUUAUUACCUGCUUUUCACGAUAAAGAUGGAGUGCAAUGGAGCCUCUUCACUCUGUGCAUGGGUGAAAUUUCCUGAUACUGAAUUGCAGAAGCAUGAUUACCAGCUCACUUUCUUGUCUCUUUACACAGUGCCAGUUCUUCAGUUUACACAAAAGCACAUUUCACCUCCACUUUACAAGCACAGAUGUACACACGUAUGUACACACAUGCAUAUAUGUGGGUCUGUAUAAACACACAGAUGCACAUAUGCUUAGACACUACACAUACAGAUGUAUUUAUUCCUACAUAGUUCUCCAGUACACCCUGCAGGUCAAGGACACUGCCUGCCCCACCCUCAGUCCCACUCAAAGGUCAGCCUUUAAGCAGCUGUGCCUCAGUCCCGGUGUCCACUGGCCAGUUGAUUGAACAACCAGUGAAUCCAGAGACCAACCUUUGACCUGUGACGUCAUCUGCCACAAACAGGAGCGUGGACAAGAGCUGCUAAGACAGGGAGGCUGUGAGCUGCAGGCACUGACAGCAAGGAGGCCCAGAGAGAAGCCACUGGGCAGAGCUUGGUUCACGAAGCAGAAACUAAGGCCCAGAGGGAGCAGCAACUGUUCAGGGUCCCAGAGCAAGUGCUCCAGGAACACAGUGAGGAUGUGAUCUGUUUUCAAUUAAAGUCACAGCGCUCUAGGGGAGCACAGUCCACCUAGGGAGGAAAGUCGGAGGCCAGCAGCAAACGCCUCCAAGCGCUGGAGAAAUGCAUUCCUGCGGUAACCGACGUCCCCUGGGGAACCCGGUGGGACCCCCCGGGGGGGCCCCCCCCCCCCC
Molecule: long non-coding RNA, 1361 nt
Organism: Piliocolobus tephrosceles (Ugandan red Colobus)
Lineage: Eukaryota; Metazoa; Chordata; Mammalia; Primates; Cercopithecidae
Exons: 3
Source: RefSeq, a predicted model, not a curated record